CCCACUUCGAUUUUCAGAGAAAAAAUGGAUUAUGUGCUCAACUCCAUGGAUUGUUUAGCAAUAUUUGGACAAUUUCGAUGGCUUCUGUUGUUGUAUGAUCGAAAUGUGUGUAAUGUUUGAUGUCAUAUACUCCCUCUUGAUUGACCUAGCUUCUUGCGCAGGAAUCGUUGAGGAGAUGGGUUGCCUUAAUCGACCUGUUAUGGCCAGCAAGGUCUCUCUCAGACAGCUUCAAUUUGAACUCUCUUACGAGCUCUGAAAACUAGAUCGUAAUAUCUCUCACCCAUAUUUCUAUUCAUUAUUUGUUCAUCCGUGCACUGCCAUUCCCCUACUUUUGACUCAUGGAGGAAUUAGCUGCGCUACAUGUUUCAUCAAAGAUACUUACUACUGCAUUUCUGGUUAUUUUUGCUCUUUUUUUUAUUGGAAUUUCCAUAACAUCGUAGUGGGAACUGGAAAUCUGGAUGAACUCAUAGGAUGGUAUCUUAGUUAUCAUGGGGACUACAAUAAAGUAUAAACAAUGAGUUGUACUUGUGGCCUUCAGAUGCAAAUUUGAAAUGGAUACCAUUUCUUGGUUUCACUUUCAUUAGUAUCGGAUCUGCAGUAGUGCUUUUUACUCCUAGCAUUUGUCCUACUAAAUGCUGGGGAAACCAAUUAUCAUUACAGUAAUGUUCUGCUUUGGUUUGAGUUGCGGAACCCAUACCAUACAUUCAUCUCUUGGUUUGUAAUUUGCACUAAAGUUAUGAACCUGAAGUAAGCUUCUUUUUGAAAACUGAAGAGGAAUAGUAGCAGCCCUACUUAAAAAUGUUUUGCUAAUGUAGUACACUGCCUCGUGCCAACUUCGUUGGAAUUUGUAAAUGUGUUAAAAGGUGAACUAUCAUUAUGUUUUAACCCCAAAUAUUGUUUAUUUAGUGUUCAUGGUUGCAAAUGGUGAAUCUGUUAAAAAAUGGAAUGGUUAUACACAUCAGCAUAUAGAUUAUAUCCUUUAUUUGGGCAUUAUCCAAUGAAUAAUUUAUAUUUUCCCUUUUCCUUUAUACUAACAUGUUUCUACACAUAAUAUUUGAUUUUCCUAUGAAUUUUAUUUGCAGUCGCUCUGUUUUAAAACUAGACUUAUAAUCCUAGGUGUUAGAUUGCUUGUGACUAGGAGUCGCUGAUACAAUGUAAUUAUAGGCUUGUGGAAAUGAUAUUGGGCCGAUCAGAUUUCACCAGCACGGCAAAGCGAGAUAUCCUUUUAUGGGCCAUGCAUUUCUUUGGUGUUGUGAUUUUUUUCCAUGUUAAUGGAUAUACAUGCAGUUCUCCUGCAUGGUCCCUGAAAAAACUCUUAAGAGUUAUCCGUGCUCCAGUUGCUUCUGAGAGUAGUACUUGGGCAGGACACACUGAGUUCCUUUCAUCUCUUAUGAUGUUGUAAUUAGUGAUGACUACAAUUUUAUAUUGGAAUUUAAAUGUUGGUAUUGCCUAUACUAACAGUUUUUCUAGCUGCUCAGAUACCUACCCAUUGAUGUUACAAUUUAGAUUUUUGUCCAAAUGUAGUGUUUCCAUUGUGUCUCCUAGAAGUGAGAAAAACAGAACAAAAGGAGGUCUCUUCCAGAAUGGUAGAAUAAAAGGUUUCUGGCUUAUGUAAGCACUUGAUUAUUUUCUAAAGCUUCAUUCGAAUUUUGCGGUGAAUGGUUAGUGCUGAGAACAGUUGCUUAGAACUUUUCCUGCCACAUAUAAUGUUUCAGGUAUGGUCAAAUAGUUCAUUUUGCCUAAAAUUGUGCCAUCACCACCGCUCACAAUAAGUUACCAUGUCAUUUUCCUGCUAAUGGUUCUCUUAACGAUUAGGCUUCGCCUAGCAAAUGCAGAGAUUGAAUGCUGUUAUUUUCCAGGAUCUACUGCUAUAUAAUUUGUAAGGCUUCUGCUAAUAUUUAAGGCCACUCUCACUGUUUGUUUCUUGCUGUGAGAGUUGCUUAUGCCGGCAAGCAAGAUAACUUUGCAUUGGAGUCCAGAUCAGCAAGCAGCUAAAGGUACAAAAGGGCAUAUAAAUGGUAUAUUUGUUUGUUGCUUCCCUCUGCUUGCCGACUCAUAUCACGAGGUGAACACAUGAUUUGCCAAGUUUUGUGCCUGAACCUAAGGUGAAGUACUAUACCCAUGAAUAAACUGCAGUACUACUAAACUAUACUAAUACGGAACCUACAUUUUCUCCUACAUUGCAUGCCUGGUGAUUAGAAGGAUCAGAAUAUCCCCCAUGUCCAUGUAUUUCGGUGUAUAUCUCCAUAAAGGAAACAACUUGAACUGAGGCAAGGAUCUUCCUGAUGCCUUUCCUGAGCCUGUUAGCCCAAAGCAUAUGUCCCCCUCAUUAUUUUUCUCCUCAUAAGUUGGUUACAGGUCUGCCAAAAUUUGGUUUGGUCAUGCUGUUGGCUAUAUAGGUUGUCUUGUGUGAUGUGCUCAUCAAUGAAGCUUUGGAUAUGAACAAAUCUUCAAUUAACUCUGCUCAGACGCUGUAACAAUCCAACAAGUAAUGCUACUUUUUUGUCCUUUGAACUCUGAAUUACUACUCACUGUAUGCUGGUUUCAGGAAGUUUAGUGGUUAUUAUUAUGUGGUUUACCCAUCAAAAUUCUGUAGUCAGGUUUAACUGAUGUUCAAGCACCCGUAUGAGUCUGAUAGUUCCUAUUCUCCCUACUCUCUCUUUCUUAUAACAAAGUUCUGCUAUGUUGCCUUUUAUUAUUUCCAUCAAAAGGUAGAAUUGCUCCUAAAUUUGAUGCACCAGGACACCGUCGGCCCCCUCUCAUGUCAGCUGGAGGAGCUGAAAGCCAGCCACCCAGUCCCCGGCUCCUUUGUCGCACCCGUUCCUCACUGAUGCGGGCAGCUCCUUCCCCUUUCGUGACUUCCAUUUCAACUGCUGCCAAGGUGAGAACAGAUAAAAUUUGCAAUUGUUGAUGUAGAGAUGUUUCUUUAUAAUUGCUUAAGGAUAUGUUCGUCUGAAAAGAAUACAUAGAGUCAUACAUGUGUGUGCACAAACGAUUUAGAUUUGUUUAUGUCUGAAUUCGGAAAACAAUGGACUGUGAUGUGCUAGGAGAGCUAAAGGCUAGAAAGAGUAAAUAAUGUUUUUCCUGUGAUAUUAAAGGAAUUUUGCAUCAGGCGCCUGUUAGGAAAACAUUAGUGAAAACAAGUCACUAGCUACAAGAAUGGUAUAAAGAUGAUUUGCAUGUUGUAAUUGCAUAGUCGUCUAGAAAAAAAUAGUCCCAUAUUCCAUUUGAAGUGUUACGCAUGUAUGAAAGGUACAUAAUUUGAGUUGUUUUAGUUGCGAGUCGUGUCGGGGAUGAUUAUUUUAGAACUUUACACUGCAAAAUACUCAACUAAGUUGAUCUUUUUAGCUAAAUUUGACCAACAAUAACCAUUUUUGUACUUUUAAAAGGUACACAAAUGUUAUCUAUAGUUAAAUGCAUUUUUAUAACUUGGUGGUCAAAGUUAGUAAGGUGACGAGAAUAAUUACAUUAGCAGCAUUAUGAAAUAACAUAGUUGAUUAAAAAAAUGUUGCAAUUAUUCAAUUUACAACACAAAAGAAAGAAUCAUCCAGAUUUUGAUAUUAGGGGAACUACUCUGGGAGAGCCCAAUCGUAAGCCAUAAAGCAAUACUCAAAAUCCCAAUAGAGUUAUUAGCUAUAUUCUUGCAACAAAUCGUUUUGUUAUUCAAAGUCUGCAUUCUUUUUUCAGAUAGUGCAACUAUCUUAAUGUGAAAAAAUGUACUAUGCUGCCUCCUUUGCAUUCCAUGUUCUUGGAUAAAGAAUAAAUACAAAAUGUCUUCUUCUCCGUGCAAAAUGUGAAUUUAUUUGACAUGAAUUACCUGAGAAAUAAAAAAGAGAAGCCCGCCAACAUAAAUGUUGAACAAUUUCAUCCAUCACUCUAGGGAUUUUCUUACCUUAUUAAAAAUACCCUUAUGGAACUGAAGCGUAGUUGUUCAACUGCUGGCCAUAUCCUCCUUUCAGUGACAUUAUCUCUAGCCUUUUGAGGUUUUACUUCUAGAUUAGCUACGUCUGUCAGUUACAGUUUUUUCUGUACAUCUUCCUGAUGAAAGGUUCUAGCCAAACGUCUUCCGGUGCCAAGACCAGACAACAAGGUUGUUGCUAUGCUAAAGUCAGGACUGACUGCAUCAAUUUCUGUUAAAAAGGUUAUCUUGAUACACAACUGUUAUUGAGUUUGUAUUGAAUUAUGCUCUGGAUAUUUUUUUCUGUCAGAUUCAGGAUUGGAAGUACAUAUCUCUUAUAGUUUGACUUGGAAGAGGACCCUUGCUGGUUUAGCCAUAUUGAGUUGUGAAUGUUUGGAUCAUAAUAUAAGUUAAAUAUUCUGUUACUAUAAAUUAGGUAGAACAACGAUAUUUAUUAUGUAAAAUGUGAUUUAGGCAUCAAGCUGGUGAAUUUUCACGGACCCAUUGCAGGUUAAAGGAAGAUAUUAUCCUACAGUUCAUGGAACCAACACAUUGUACACCGGUCUCACUGGGUUGAUUACUCGGUCGACUAUUUCGCUCGCAAGAUGCAUGCAACAAACUGCACAAUAUAAUUUUCAGGUCCAUGAUCAAGAUACAUCCAACUCUAGCUAAUUAGAGCUGGUGGUUCCGCUUAUGGCCAAGUCCAGACCCCAGCCAACCAAAAAAGACAACAUAUAUUCAACGGUAAAAUAGUACGCUGCAAAACCUAAACACUAUUAGAAGAGGACGGCGCCGCAAA
This is a long non-coding RNA of Lolium rigidum, 4697 nucleotides long. RefSeq lists it as uncharacterized. The record is from RefSeq and is a predicted model, not a curated record. The transcript is spliced from 3 exons. Lineage: Eukaryota; Viridiplantae; Streptophyta; Magnoliopsida; Poales; Poaceae.